RNAcentral lists this ribosomal RNA (1737 nucleotides) under Triticum aestivum (bread wheat). RNAcentral describes it as "partial small subunit ribosomal RNA". The record is from RNAcentral. Lineage: Eukaryota; Viridiplantae; Streptophyta; Magnoliopsida; Poales; Poaceae.
AUGUGCGUCGGAGGGCGCAGCCUAGCAAAGGACGGGUACCCAGAAGAAGCCGAUCACUCCAGUGAGUUGGGCGGUGGUGGCCACUGCAAGCUAGCAGCUCAAGCAUCACCAGGUGGAGGCAUGGUGCCUGGGCCAGAACGUGGGCAACAUCCAGAGGAAGGAAAAGACCCACUUGGGGAAGUGUCUCAUGGUUCAUACGUGGUGGCACCUGGAACUUUACUAUGUGUAAAUGAUGCAGCACCAAUCUCAUGCGCAGGGGGUGCAGUAGCAUCACUUGGUGGUGGCCAGUCAGCAAGUAUGUCCAGUACUCUAUUUGUCAGCCUAGAAGCGAGCAUCGGUGGUGGCUCGCAGUUGCUAGCAGAAUUGUACGCAGAAGAUGACGUCACUUCGGCACCUAUGUCGCCUCCGAAAGUACUGGAGAAAACGACACGUCCAUCUACAACCGAUCAUCUACAUCCGGAGUUACACUCAUAUCCGGAGAAAUUUCUUCAGACGAUUAACCCGGUAAUGGUGAACGGGAGUGGGCGACGGUGUCUAGCAAGCGCCGAGGAACCGGCGGAAUUUGUGGACGCAAAUACGAAGGAGUGUUGGCGUCAUGCUAUGAAAGAAGAGUUGGGGUCGAUCCAUGACAAUAAUACAUGGGAGCUUGUGGAUCUUUCCAACAAUGAAAAGGCGAUAGAGCUCAAGUGGCAAUUUAAGGUCAGGAAAGAUGUUGAAGGGUGCAUGAAGCACAAAGUGAGGUUUGUGGCCAAAGAGUAUGUGCAAGAGGAAAGUAUGGACUUCGAAGAAGUGUUCGUUCUCAUUACAAAGAUGGAGUCGGUGAGAUUACUCAUCGCUCUCGCGGCUCAGGAAUCAUGGAAGAUACAUCACAUGGAUGUAAACUCCGCGUUUUUGAAUGGCGAGAUAGAAGGAGAUGUGUAUGUGAAUCAACCGCCGGGUUUCAUCAAAGAGGGAGAAGAGCACAAGGUACUGAAGUUACACAAAAUCUUGUAUGGGCUAUGGCAAGGACCUCGGGAGUGGAACAUCAAACUUGAUCGGACAUUGAUUUCUCUUGGAUUUGAGAAAGCCCCACUAGAGCAUGCAAUGUACAAGAGAGGUGAAGGAAGGGAUCGUCUACUAGUUGGCAUCUACGUCGACGACCUAUUGAUUACUGGAGCAGAUGAAGAGGUGAUUGCAAAGUUCAAGUUACAAAUGAAGGAGAUUUUCAAGAGGGAUGAUCUAGGUCUUUUGAGCUUCUACCCCAGGAUAGAGGUACAUCAAAAGACAGAGGAUAUCACACUAUGCCAGGAGGCAUACACAAGGAAGAUACUUGAAAACUGUGGCAUGAAAGAUUGCAAUCUAAUUGAAUCUUCAACGAAACCUCGUCUUGAACUGAGCAAGAAGAGUAAAGCACCCACAGUUGAUGCAAUAGAGUAUAUUGCAGCUGCCACUGCGAUGUGUCAAGGUGUGUGGCUAGGGAGGCUGCACGGUGAUCUCAUGGAUCGAGAUCCGGAACAAGUGGUGCUCAAUGUUGAUGGAAAGUCUACAACUUUUCUACGCGAAGAACCAGUGCGGCAUGAUAGGAGCAAGCACAUUGAUACGGUGUAUCACUACAUAAAGGACUGCGUGGAAGAAGGUAAGAUGAAGGUCAACUACGUUUGCACCGAUGAUCAGAUGGCGGAUAUCCUAACCAAGAGUUUGGAUCGAGAGAAGUUCUUGGAGAAGCGAAGAAGGAUCGGCGUCGGAGCGGUCACGUGA